Molecule: long non-coding RNA, 141 nt
Organism: Amblyraja radiata (thorny skate)
Lineage: Eukaryota; Metazoa; Chordata; Chondrichthyes; Rajiformes; Rajidae
Exons: 3
Source: RefSeq, a predicted model, not a curated record
UUCCCCCAUCGUUCUACAUCUCUGCGGCAAUAUCCGCUUUCUGUCUGCAUGGCAGCGGCAAUAAGAGUUGGGAAAUGGGAAUUAUCAGAGGGUUACAGAAAUUUGGUGAAAUUCCCGCUGUCGGGAUGAGGACGGUUCAUC